Non-coding RNA from Oryctolagus cuniculus (rabbit), 6872 nucleotides. Lineage: Eukaryota; Metazoa; Chordata; Mammalia; Lagomorpha; Leporidae. The record is from RefSeq and is a predicted model, not a curated record.
UCCGCGCCGGCCCCGGCUAUAAAUAGCGCGGGGCGCAUGGCUCUUCGGGAGGCGCAGGGAGUCCGGGCCCGGCGGCCGCGGGGAGCGGGUGCUUGCUAGGAGCCGGGCUGCCGGCCUCCUCGCUCUGCCUUUUGGGGGUUCUUUUUGUAAUAGCAGCAGGUGCAACUUUUUGUAUUUUUAAAAAACAUUGACGUUCACGUUCGUGUGGGUAGGUCGGGGGGCGUUAUCCACGGAGCUGCGCUCUAUCCGGGCGCCAGGCGGGCGAAGCCCAGGCAGGGAUGGCGGGCGGGGCGGCGGCGGAGGUGGCGGCGGCGGAGGUGGAAUGGGCGCUUUUCUCUCCCAUCUGGCUCCAUUUAUUUAUUUAUUUAUUUAGACUAGAAAAAGCGAGCCGGCUUGGAGGGAGUCCGCCCAGCGAUCCGAGUGCGCAUUGAUCAGUGUCGAGAGAAAAAAAAGCUACAUAAAUAUAUAUUAUGUGGAUAAAUCUGCAGACAAGAGCUCUCUCGUGCGCGCGUCCGUUCCCCGUUUCUCUCCCUCUGCCUCUUCCCUCCCCGCGUCCCCAACCUGCCAGAGCGGCUGCAAACCUUCCUCCCGCCCGGCGGCCACCGCCACCCGGUCCAGGCGCGCGGGGGAGUGGAGAUCCGGGGUCCGAGCCCCGCUCCACCAGCCUCUGAAGGCGGGAGGUGGGUGUUUCCGUCCCGGACGGCCUCUCCCGCCCCGGGGAGCGGCGGCUGGCCCGGCCCGCGGCUGGCGGGAGGAAGGUAGGAGCCGGGCUCUCUGGCCCGCUCGCCCGCCGGGGAGGGAGGAGGGCGCGGCGCGGUGGCCGGCGAGCCAGCGCUGGGCACGGGCUCGAUUUUGCCCUCGACCGCUUUGCCGGUUCAGAUAGAUUUUUCUCCCCCCUUAAUCCACCAUCAAAGAAAUAAAGCCCCGGACUCGCUAACCGGGCUGCGGUGGUUCCCAGACUCGCGCGGUGUGCGCUGUCCCUUUGGGUUGCGUUUGCUACACCUCCCGCUCCAGAGGUGCGAGGCAGGGAGUCGCGUCUGCGGGCGGGAGCCGGGAUCCAGACCCCAGGCCGGACCCCGCCGGACUCCCUGCCGGGCCAGCCCAGGGGCUGCAACCUCAACUGCGUGGCGGCCGAAGAAGUGGCGGGCGCGGGGGCCGGUUGCAGCCGCCCCGCCUCUGGGGGCGAAUUCUGCUGGCGAACUUGGCUGGGCGGCAGAUUUUUGUUUUGAUGGCAUUUAUCUGCACCCCAUCCCCUUCCACAUUUGUUUUCCCAGGACAGCCUCUUCUGGGCUUCAGGAGCCGGGUAAAUUGAAAUAACACGCCCGCUCCCCCGCGGGUUCUGGAGCUGGGAGCCUGGGCAGCCAAGGAAGGUGCCGGCCUCUCUCCCGCCGGCUGGGCUGGCCGCUUUCGGGUGUUCGGGGCUUCUUUUUCCUUGUCCUCGGAUUGCAUUACGUUCUUAGACGAUCUGUUUAAAAUUGUAUUUAAAGAAAUGAGACCCCGGCUGCCUGAAGCCCCAGGCCGAGCCCGGAUGGUGCAGCCACAGCGCGGAGCUCUCCAGCGCCGAAGGAGGCCAGAGGCCGGGAGUUUCCUCGCCCCAAGCCCGAGCCCGCUCGGGACGCCUUUCCCUGAGGAUCGGGGCCCAAAGCAAGCAGCAAGUACUGAGAACUGUUGAACUUCACCUUUUCUGUUUAGAUUCUCGGGCCUUUGCUGGAUGGAGUCCUGUGUGGAAUCCAGUUUGUGGGACAAAGGAAGACAUGGAGGAGAAGAAGCUAAAUGGCCCUUCAGAGAUGGAAUCCUCAGCCUUGGUAGACUCUUACCCUUCCACAGGCAUUACCGGCUUCAGUUCACCUGAUUUCAGUAGAAACUGAACACAUCCUGGAGAGACAGGAUAGGACUGUGAGGAAAGAGAAUCCCUGAUCUUCAUCUGUGAGACGAGGCAGAAACUCUUUGAAAACACAAAGUUCCCCUUGAGACAAACUGGGACCGACCUGCGAGAAGGGGAGUUUGCCGAGGUAGCCCCGCCAACACCAUCUCCUGGUGGUCUCAAGGCUGUGGUCCUGGACAUAGAGAACUACUGAAGGGAUGCCUGCCCAGGGGCCCUGUCUGGGAGAGCCAUUUGCCCCAGAGCCUGGAGACUGCCAGACUUCUGUGGAUAACCUGGAGGACAGGGCAUAGGCCUCCUCCUUUCAUGAGGAAGCUGAAUGAGAGUGAAGCUGUGGCAUUCUCAGCAAGAAGGCCCUGACAAGAUACUGCUCCCUUGAUAUUGGACUUCCCAGCCUCCAUAACUGUGAGAAAUACAUUUUUUUCACUUUUGCAAUUACCCAGUCUGUGGCAUUCUGUUACAGCAACAGAAAAUGCACUCUAACAGCCUCCCCUGGAGUAAUACUGGAGACACUCAGGGAUGCUUAUCCAAGAUUACUCACUGCAAGCACAAGCUGGGCAUACCUCUUUGUUUGUUUGUUGGAAGGCUUUGGUGCAAUAAGAAAGGAAAUAAUAGGCCGGUGCCACGGCUCAAUAGGCUAAUCCUCUGCCUUGCGGCGCCAGCACACCGGGUUCUAGUCCCGGUCGGGGCAUCGGAUUCUGUCCCGGUUGCCCCUCUUCCAGGCCAGCUCUCUGCUGUGGCCAGGGAGUGCAGUGGAGGAUGGCCCAAGUGUUUGGGCCCUGCACCCCAUGGGAGACCAGGAGAAGCACCUGGCUCCUGCCAUUGGAUCAGCGCGGUGCGCCGGCCGCUGCGGCCAUUGGAGGGUAAACCAAUGGCAAAAGGAAGACCUUUCUCUCUGUCUCUCUCUCUCACUGUCCACUCUGCCUGUAAAAAAAAAAAAAGAAAAAGAAAAAAAAAAAAAGAAAGGAAAUAGUAGCCAAUACUUUCAAGCAGGCAUCUCUGUAAGCGGUAGACCUUCUUUAAAUCCUUUUCUGGGGCUGGCACUGUGGCGCAUGCGUUAAUGCCCUGGCCUCAAGUGCCAGCAUCCCAUAUGGGCGCCGGUUUGAGUCCUGGCUGCUCUUCUUCUGAUCCAGCUCUCUGCUGUGGCCUGGGAAAGCAGUGGAAGAUGACCCAAGUCUUGGGUCCCUGCACCGACGUGGGAGACCCAGAAGAAGCUCCUGGCUCCUGGCUUUGGAUCAGCACAGCUACCGCCAUUGUGGCCAAUUGGGGAGUGAACCAGCAGAUGGAAGACCUCUCUCUCUCUCUCUCUUUCCCUCUUCCUCUCCCUCUCCCUCUCCUCUCUCUGUGUAACUCUGAAUUUCAAAUAAAUAAAUAAAUCUUAAAAAAAAUCCUUUUUCUUUUAAGUGACCCAUGCCCAAAUUCUCCCUUAGUAAACAUUAAAUGAAAUAAACCAAACCAGCACACAGAACAUAACUUCCACAAGAAAUUGAACCAAAAGUCUAAAUGAUAUAAAAUGACUUUGUUUUCCAUGUCUGUGGCAUUAGCAUUUAAAAGAUGUUUUUAUUUACUUAUUAUCUGAGAGGUAGAGUGAUAGAGAGUGACAGUAAGAGUGAGAGACAGUUACUUUCCAUUGGUUUACUCCCCAAAUGUCUGCAAUAUCUAGGGCUGGAUUAGGGCCAAAGCCAAGAGCAAGGAACAGAAACCACAACUCCCAUGUGAGUGACAACUGUCACUACUGCCUCUCAGGUGUACAUUAGCAUGAAUUUGGAAUCAGGGUUUUGAGCUUGGAAUCAAGGCUAAAUGCCACCAGGCUAAAUGCCCAUCCCAUGGCACUGGUAUUUGAACAGAAGUCUUGAAUAAUACGGCAAGAAUACCCUGGAUACUUGAAUUUUAGGUAUGGCCCACAAGCUGGGGGAGGGGGGUUGUGGAUUAUUUUGGGCAAGCUGGCUUUUUUCAACUCUUUGAAUAAGUCGCCAUUUCAUAUAAGCAAUAAUUUCCCUUAUAAUUGCCCUUGUUCCAUAUUAAGCCCCCCUUCCCCAUCUCCACCAUUUUACCAAGAAUGAAUUCAAGGGGCUGGCUAGUUUACAUGACUUGUAUCACUUAUCUUCACUGAUGCACUAGAAGGGGGGCGGGGUGGGAGGAUGCUGGGAUCCAGUUCUGCAGAGUCAAUCUCACUUAAUUUUCAGAGAUGAAAGUUUCCUUAGCUCUUUCCUGUGGCACCAGCCUUUGAUCCUGGAGCAGAGGGAGACUUGGAGAGUGUUUAUGAUCCCUGGUCUCUAGAGGAGGUGGAGGAGCAAACUGGGAAGCAGAAGUGAGAGAUGGCUGAGGAGUUUAGGGUUAAGGAGUGUGUACUUUGGCUAAGGGUGACAUAACAAAUCCCACAUACCAGGUGACUUAAGCAACAUAAACUCACUUCUCACAGUUCUAGAACCUGGAAGUGCAAGCUGAGGAUGUCGGUAGGAUUCAUUUAUUUUUUUGUAAGAAAAAGAUUUAUUUAUUUGAAAGGGAGAGAGAGAGGAGAAGAGAGAAGAGAGAAGAGAGAAGAGAGAAGAGAGAAGGUCAUCCAUCUGCUGGUUCACUUCUGAAAUGGCCUGGAAUGGGCCAGGUUGAAGCCAGGAGCCAGGAACUGCACCCAGGUCUUUCACAUGAGUGGCAGGGGCCUAUAUACAUGGGCCACCUUUUGUUGCCUUCCCAGAUGCAUUGUCAGGAAGCUGGAUCAGAAGCUGAGCAACUGGGACUCAAACUUGUGCUUUGAUAUGGGAUGCUGGUGUUACAAGAAGCGGCUUAACCUGCUGUGCAUAGCUUGAGCUCCUGGUUUGCUCUUUAUAAGUGCUUGCUAUGCUGGGCUGUGCUAAGUGUCUGGAAUAUGAAGGAAGAGUAAGUCUAGGUUCUUUCCUCUGGAUGUUUGUAACCGAUCAGAGCUUCUGGAGGUCACCUGACACCUCUGGUGCCCUAUUUGAGCUACAGUAUUAGCAGUACUGUAAGAGUGACUUGGGAGUACCCAGUAGGGGGGCACUGAUGCUCUUCCUGGAGCAGUCAUCCAAGGGUGGUCUGGUAUAAAUUCCCUGACCCUUCUGAGCACUCUGUCCAAGGGUGUGAGCAUCGUCUUGAAGCAGCAGGUGCUUCUCCUCACCUGCACAAUCUUGUCUGUCCUAAAUACUCCUUAUUAUACUCUGGGUGGCUGGGAAGAGGGUUGGAUGGUGAAUAAAGCAGCAAAACAAAGGUGGGGGGUAGGACAUUGUGAUGGCUAAUUCUAGACAUCAGCUUCAUAGGAUGAGGGAUGUCCAGAUUGGUGUUAAAACAUUGUUGUGUGACAUGGAAGGGUGUCGCUGGAAGAGAUUAAUCAUUUGAAUCAGUGGAUGGAGUAAAGACUAUCCUCACCAAUGUGGAUGUCCGUUACCCAACCUUUGAGGACUGGACAGAGGACUGCACAGUACAGAGCGAGGGAGAAUUCAUUCUUUCUGUUGGAAUUGGGACAUUCGCCUUUGUAGGCUCUUAGGUAUUAAAAUUCCAGGUUCUUGGGUUUUUACACUCCAGAACUUGUAUUGUUUCCACUCUCACCUAAAAGCCCCACCCCCACACCCAUUUCUCAGGUCUUUGACCUUGAAUUGAGAUUUACAACAUUGGCUUCUAUGAUUUUCAAGACUUUUGGGUAUAGGUUGAAUUACAACACUGGCCUCUAUAGUUUGCCACCUUGCAGAUGGUAUAUUGUGGAACUUCUCAACCUCCAUAAUCAUGUAAACCAGUUCUCAUAGUAAACCUCUCUCUCUUUACAUAUAUAGUGAAAGCAGCAAAUAUAUAUAUAUUAUAUACAUAAAUAAUAUAUCUAAUAUAUUUAUAAUGUAUAUAUUCCAUUGAUUCUGCUUCCCAGGAGAGCCUUGAAUAGUACAGACAUUGUGUGAGAGUUCAGUUUGGAUUGUCUAUCUGUUACUCAACCUUCUUUUCCAGGAGGUCUUCUUCCCUACAUCAUCACCAAAAUUGGGCCUUUGGAGCUCUCUGAUUCCACCCUUGCCUCAAUGAGGCUCCAGAACAUAACACUGGCCCAUUAAGGGGGAAUGAUGUCAGAGUUAAUGCGUCAUUUUCCAGGAGAAACUUGAUCUCUCUGUCUUAUCUCUGGCGGUAGAAGAGAAAACCAACACUAAAAGGCAAGCUGUAGCGGCAUGCACAAGGUCCUCCUGAAGCUUCUGAAACUGGACCUAGGUGGAGAGAUGCGUAGGAGCCCUGUGCCUCCAAUGUGGUUAUAGGGCACUAUCAGGGGGUGUUUCUUUGUGACCACUGUCCCUCUGUGCAUGCCGACCAAAGAAGACUGCCCAGGGCGUCUAUGACCACUAACCUCCAACACUCUGACUAUGCCUCCCACAGAGCCCUGAAUUGGGCCACACAGAGGACCCUGGUGAAAUAGAAGUGAAGGUCCCAGUCUGGAAGCAGCCUCCAGGUUAAGUGGAUUGCCAGGCACACCAUCACCAGGUGUCUCAAGUCUAGGGGAAGACAGAUAAUAUGCGCUCUAGGGAGCCCCAGGCCUUCUGGCCUAAUUUGAGAAAUGUGGUUUCUGCCAAGGGCCGGUAUUUAGGACACACAUACAUAUUUAAAAGGCCCAAGAACAGACACAAAUAAGACAUUAACAUGUGCAAAUUGUUACAACUGAAUACUGAAGCCAGGAGACAGGAUGGAGGGGUGGAGUCAGUCCCUCAGCCCCCAGCUACCUUGGGUGGCGACGGGGUAACAGGCACUCUGGGCAGCAGCAGGUGCAUCACAGGUGUUCUUUAUUAGGAAGCUCCGUGCCCUCUUUUACUGAAAGCAGACUGGGAGUGAGUAGUACACACCUGGGCCCAGGCAUGGAUGCACAAAAAUGAUCAAGGGACAAUACAAGGUUCAUGAAAAUAAUUCAACUAAAAGAUAAGCUUAUUUUGGUGCAAAAAAUUGAAAUCCAUGCAUAAUAUACCUUUUUCAUGAACUUUAUUGAGAUCUCCAAUAUGCAUAUGAUUUCAAA